AGAGUUUGAUCCUGGCUCAGAUUGAACGCUGGCGGCAUGCCUUACACAUGCAAGUCGAACGGCAGCAUGGAAGAGCUUGCUCUUCUGAUGGCGAGUGGCGAACGGGUGAGUAAAGCAUCGGAACGUACCGUGUAGUGGGGGAUAACGUAGCGAAAGUUACGCUAAUACCGCAUACGCACUGGGGUGGAAAGCAGGGGAUCGCAAGACCUUGCGCUAUACGAGCGGCCGAUGUCAGAUUAGCUAGUUGGUAGGGUAAAGGCCUACCAAGGCGACGAUCUGUAGCGGGUCUGAGAGGAUGAUCCGCCACACUGGGACUGAGACACGGCCCAGACUCCUACGGGAGGCAGCAGUGGGGAAUUUUGGACAAUGGGGGAAACCCUGAUCCAGCCAUGCCGCGUGAGUGAAGAAGGCCUUCGGGUUGUAAAGCUCUUUCGGCCGGGAAGAAAUCGCACAGGCUAAUACUCUGUGUGGAUGACGGUACCGGCAUAAGAAGCACCGGCUAACUACGUGCCAGCAGCCGCGGUAAUACGUAGGGUGCGAGCGUUAAUCGGAAUUACUGGGCGUAAAGCGUGCGCAGGCGGUUAGAUAAGUUUGCUGUGAAAUCCCCGGGCUCAACCUGGGAACUGCAUUGAAGACUGUCUGACUAGAGUACGGCAGAGGGGGGUAGAAUUCCACGUGUAGCAGUGAAAUGCGUAGAGAUGUGGAGGAAUACCAAUGGCGAAGGCAGCCCCCUGGGUCGAUACUGACGCUCAUGCACGAAAGCGUGGGGAGCAAACAGGAUUAGAUACCCUGGUAGUCCACGCCCUAAACGAUGUCAACUAGUUGUUGGUAGGGUUAGACCUAUUAGUAACGUAGCUAACGCGAGAAGUUGACCGCCUGGGGAGUACGGUCACAAGAUUAAAACUCAAAGGAAUUGACGGGGACCCGCACAAGCGGUGGAUGAUGUGGAUUAAUUCGAUGCAACGCGAAAAACCUUACCUACCCUUGACAUGUCAAGAAUCCCUGAGAGAUUAGGGAGUGCCGCAAGGAACUUGAACACAGGUGCUGCAUGGCUGUCGUCAGCUCGUGUCGUGAGAUGUUGGGUUAAGUCCCGCAACGAGCGCAACCCUUGUCAUUAGUUGCCAUCAUUUAGUUGGGCACUCAAUGAGACUGCCGGUGACAAACCGGAGGAAGGUGGGGAUGACGUCAAGUCCUCAUGGCCCUUAUGGGUAGGGCUUCACACGUCAUACAAUGGUCGGUACAGAGGGUCGCUAACCCGCGAGGGGGUGCCAAUCUCAGAAAGCCGAUCGUAGUCCGGAUCGUAGUCUGCAACUCGACUACGUGAAGCCGGAAUCGCUAGUAAUCGCGGAUCAGAAUGCCGCGGUGAAUACGUUCCCGGGUCUUGUACACACCGCCCGUCACACCAUGGGAGUGGGUUUCACCAGAAGUAGCUAGCCUAACCGUAAGGGGGGCGGUUACCACGGUGAGAUUCAUGACUGGGGUGAAGUCGAAACAAGGUA
This 1499-nucleotide ribosomal RNA is filed under the name metagenome. RNAcentral's name for it is "bacterial SSU rRNA". It matches the Rfam family "Bacterial small subunit ribosomal RNA". The record is from RNAcentral.